UCUUAUUUUAUUAACUCUCGUUAAUAAGCAAUUUAUAACUAAUUUUUAUAAAUUGCUCUGUCUGACGGGGACAUAGUGAAUACAGAAGCUGUGGGAAAUAUAGGUUCCCUAAAAGCUAACGCGAUCCAAAGAGGCGUAUUGUUCAUUUGUCUCAUUCUGUGUUUUGUUAAAGUGUGGCUUGUUGCUUUUGUACUUGACACAAAUACACUACCAUGAACCUCUCACCUCUGUAUAACAUCAUCUCACCCUCCCUCCCUAAACGUUGUCGUUGUUUCCACCACCACCGUCACUACGUCAUUUCUGGACGAGUGUCCCCCUCUUCCCCUCCCCGUCGCCGCCAUCUGCGCCGCCGCCUCCUUAAAAAGUUCUCCCGGGAAGACACUUGUCCGCCCUCCGAUGAAAACCUCCACUUCAUCCUUACCGUCGAUAGUUUGCCUACCAAAUCGUUACACGACCUUCUCCACUCCAAGCUUGGCGAAUUCGUACACUCAAGCCGAGCCGCCAUUGAAGACUUGCAAACUCUAAUCCGCAUAGAUAGCAAUAACGGCAGAGUUCUCUUCUCCUGCACAAGGUCCACCGUUAAAUUCCUAGCAACUCUACUACUUACCACUUCCAUACUUAUUUUCACUCUUAGGGCUAUUUUUAAGCUACUGCUGGGGUUACGACUUAACAACCGAAACAACAACGUUGAGUUAGUGUAUAAAAGAGACCGUAGUUUGGGUGGAAGACAAGUACUCGUUGCAAGAAAUGAGACUGUUGUUGAUAGGAACAAACCAAAUGUGUUGGAUAAUAAUUCGGAUUGGGGGAGUCGAAUUAGGUUUUCCAGGAGACGAAAGAAGAAGAGCUCCAUGGAGCAGUUGCCCAAAUGGUGGCCUCUUUCGACUGCUGGUUCGGAGCAAGUUGGAGCAGAGAAUCAACAAGAGUAUCAGAGAAUGGCCAAUAGAUUGAUUCGAGCCAUCUUGGACAAUAGAAUGACGGGGAAGGACAUUUUGGCGGAUGAUAUUAUUCAAUUACGGCGCAUAGGGAGGAUAUCAGACGUGAAAGUUUCAUUUGAUACUGAGAAUGCACGUGAUACCCUUUAUCGCGUGGCAAUCGACUUUGUUCUUAAUUAUUGUGAAAGCAUUGCAAGCCAGUCAGCAUUUGUUCUAAUUGAUGGUGAGGAAGCGCAAAACUUCGUUGCUGGUCUUGCUGUUAAUGUUGGACUUGAGAGUACUCAAGCUGCAAGAAUGGUGUCUGCAGCUGUUGCUGCACGCACUAGGUCAAGGCUCUUGCAAGCUUGGGCCUUGGAGAUACAAGGAAAGCAUUCUGAAGCUGUGGUGGAACUGUCAAAAGUAUGUGCCAUUCACCAGAUAUUUCCUCCUGAAGAGUUCUCGCCUGAGAUGGAGAUGGUGGCUCGUGGACUUGAGAAACACUUAAAAGUAGACCAAAGGGAGUUCCUAAUGAACAGUCUUCUACGUGUGUGUGGUGAUGGGACCAGGAGAAGUGUGGCUGAAGCUUUGGGUCUGGAGUACGAAAGAGUUCAAUUCUGGAGGCAGUAGCAUCUUGUGGCGUGGCUGGUGGGUUUUAACUCUGGUCUCUCUUUCAAUCAUCUACCCAGAUGUACUUGAAGGAUAACAUCGUUCAUCAAGAGGAAAACAAGUAUACAUAAAUCACUAAUUUAAUCUUGUACUAUUGGUGUGUACAGGAAUUGAUUUUUAAAGAUUAAUAAUGUUUAUACUAAAAAAGAAAUUGGUCUACAACUAAUACUACCUGUAUGCAACAACCUUCCAGAAUGCUUCGAGUAGAUUAUCGAAUGCAUCAAUGUAAAAGGUAAAAAGUGUUAAAUGCAUAUAUUACAUUCUACUUGUGCUGAAAA
RNA transcript from Lycium barbarum (goji berry), 1855 nucleotides. RefSeq lists it as uncharacterized. The record is from RefSeq and is a predicted model, not a curated record. The transcript has 8 exons. NCBI's taxonomy places the organism in Eukaryota, Viridiplantae, Streptophyta, Magnoliopsida, Solanales, Solanaceae.